RNAcentral lists this transfer RNA (21 nucleotides) under Remusatia vivipara. RNAcentral's name for it is "partial tRNA-Phe". The record is from RNAcentral. Lineage: Eukaryota; Viridiplantae; Streptophyta; Magnoliopsida; Alismatales; Araceae.
CGGGAUAUUUAUAAAAGAGUA